Molecule: ribosomal RNA, 318 nt
Filed under: uncultured bacterium
Lineage: Bacteria
Description: bacterial SSU rRNA
Rfam family: Bacterial small subunit ribosomal RNA
Source: RNAcentral
GACGAACGCUGGCGGCGUGCUUAACACAUGCAAGUCGAGCGGUAAGGCCCUUUCGGGGGUACACGAGCGGCGAACGGGUGAGUAACACGUGGGUGACCUGCCCUCAGCUCUGGGAUAAGCCUGGGAAACCGGGUCUAAUACUGGAUAUGACUCCAUGACGCAUGUUGUGGGGUGGAAAGCCUUGUGCGGCUGAGGAUGGGCCCGCGGCCUAUCAGCUUGUUGGUGGGGNGAUGGCCUACCAAGGCGACGACGGGUAGCCGGCCUGAGAGGGCGACCGGCCACACUGGGACUGAGACACGGCCCAGACUCCUACGGGGA